Molecule: ribosomal RNA, 393 nt
Filed under: uncultured bacterium
Lineage: Bacteria
Description: bacterial SSU rRNA
Rfam family: Bacterial small subunit ribosomal RNA
Source: RNAcentral
AACGAACGCUGGCGGCGUGCUUAACACAUGCAAGUCGAGCGGUAAGGCCCUUUCGGGGGUACACGAGCGGCGAACGGGUGAGUAACACGUGGGUGACCUGCCCUCAGCUCUGGGAUAAGCCUGGGAAACCGGGUCUAAUACUGGAUAUGACUCCAUGACGCAUGUUGUGGGGUGGAAAGCCUUGUGCGGCUGAGGAUGGGCCCGCGGCCUAUCAGCUUGUUGGUGGGGUGANGGCCUACCAAGGCGACGACGGGUAGCCGGCCCGAGAGGGCGACCGGCCACACUGGGACUGAGACACGGCCCAGACUCCUACGGGAGGCAGCAGUGGGGAAUCUUGCGCAAUGGGCGAAAGCCUGACGCAGCGACGCCGCGUGAGGGAUGACGGCCUGGUGU